This 74-nucleotide small RNA is filed under the name Allobosea sp. RAC05. RNAcentral's name for it is "Bosea sp. RAC05 Makes More Granules Regulator RNA (mmgR)". It matches the Rfam family "Makes More Granules Regulator RNA (mmgR)". From Rfam's summary of the family: SuhB later renamed mmgR (makes more granules regulator) was a putative non-coding RNA found multiple times in the Agrobacterium tumefaciens genome and related alpha-proteobacteria. The record is from Rfam by way of RNAcentral. Lineage: Bacteria; Pseudomonadati; Pseudomonadota; Alphaproteobacteria; Hyphomicrobiales; Alloboseaceae.
UUGCGUCGCCCUCCUUGGGCGUUUCCUCCCUAGACUUGGGCUGCGCUCACGCGCGGCCCUUUUUUCUGUCCGGU